This 71-nucleotide transfer RNA is filed under the name Limatus flavisetosus. Its description in RNAcentral is "tRNA-Lys". Lineage: Eukaryota; Metazoa; Arthropoda; Insecta; Diptera; Culicidae. The record is from RNAcentral.
CAUUAAGUGACUGAAUGUAAGUAAUGAUCUCUUAAAUCAAAAUAUAGUAAAUUAACAAAUACUCUUAAUGA